CAGCCGCCACGGUAAUACAGAGGGUGCGAGCGUUAAUCGGAUUUACUGGGCGUAAAGCGUGCGUAGGAGGCUUUUUAAGUCGGAUGUGAAAUCCCUGAGCUUAACUUAGGAAUUGCAUUCGAUACUGGGAAGCUAGAGUAUGGGAGAGGAUGGUAGAAUUCCAGGUGUAGCGGUGAAAUGCGUAGAGAUCUGGAGGAAUACCGAUGGCGAAGGCGGCCCCCUGGACAAAGACUGACGCUCAGGUGCGAAAGCGUGGGGAGCAAACAGGAUUAGAUACCCCCGUAGUCCCUGUCUCUUAUAC
Molecule: ribosomal RNA, 301 nt
Filed under: uncultured bacterium
Lineage: Bacteria
Description: partial 16S ribosomal RNA
Rfam family: Bacterial small subunit ribosomal RNA
Source: RNAcentral